AGUGAACGCUGGCGGUAGGCCUAACACAUGCAAGUCGAACGGCAGCACAGUAAGAGCUUGCUCUUACGGGUGGCGAGUGGCGGACGGGUGAGGAAUACAUCGGAAUCUACUUUUUCGUGGGGGAUAACGUAGGGAAACUUACGCUAAUACCGCAUACGACCUACGGGUGAAAGCAGGGGAUCUUCGGACCUUGCGCGAUUGAAUGAGCCGAUGUCGGAUUAGCUAGUUGGCGGGGUAAAGGCCCACCAAGGCGACGAUCCGUAGCUGGUCUGAGAGGAUGAUCAGCCACACUGGAACUGAGACACGGACCAGACUCCUACGGGAGGCAGCAGUGGGGAAUAUGGGACAAUGGGCGCAAGCCUGAUCCAGCCAUACCGCGUGGGUGAAGAAGGCCUUCGGGUUGUAAAGCCCUUUUGUUGGGAAAGAAAAGCAGCAGGUUAAUACCCCGCUGUUCUGACGGUACCCAAAGAAUAAGCACCGGCUAACUUCGU
RNAcentral lists this ribosomal RNA (491 nucleotides) under uncultured bacterium. Its description in RNAcentral is "partial 16S ribosomal RNA". It matches the Rfam family "Bacterial small subunit ribosomal RNA", at positions 29 to 506 of the family's 1533-position model. The record is from RNAcentral.